This 301-nucleotide ribosomal RNA is filed under the name uncultured bacterium. RNAcentral's name for it is "partial 16S ribosomal RNA". It matches the Rfam family "Bacterial small subunit ribosomal RNA", at positions 509 to 807 of the family's 1533-position model. The record is from RNAcentral.
CAGUAGCCGCGGUAAUACAGAGGGUGCGAGCGUUAAUCGGAUUUACUGGGCGUAAAGCGUGCGUAGGCGGCUAAUUGAGUCGGAUGUGAAAUCCCCGAGCUUAACUUGGGAAUUGCAUUCGAUACUGGUUAGCUAGAGUGUGGGAGAGGAUGGUAGAAUUCCAGGUGUAGCGGUGAAAUGCGUAGAGAUCUGGAGGAAUACCGAUGGCGAAGGCAGCCAUCUGGCCUAACACUGACGCUGAGGUACGAAAGCAUGGGGAGCAAACAGGAUUAGAUACCCGUGUAGUCCCUGUCUCUUAUAC